CCAUUUUGGUCUUUUCCGUUUGGUUUUGAUCCUUGGUGUUUUGUUUUAGUUUUUGUAAAAUUGAUUCAUAUUGGAUUUGGUCCUUAUAAUAUGUAGAAUAUUUGAUUUUAGUCCCUCAAAAUGAGGACUAAAGUGAAUAUUAUAGGGACCAAUUUCAAUAUGAAAUAAUUUUACAAUGAUUAAAACAAAAUAUCAAGGACCAAAACUAAAUAUUUUAUAUUUGCAUGGA
Medicago truncatula (barrel medic) is the source of this 229-nucleotide microRNA precursor. It matches the Rfam family "MIR2630 microRNA precursor family". NCBI's taxonomy places the organism in Eukaryota, Viridiplantae, Streptophyta, Magnoliopsida, Fabales, Fabaceae. The record is from Rfam.